AUACGAAGGGUGCAAGCGUUACUCGGAAUUACUGGGCGUAAAGCGUGCGUAGGUGGUUGUUUAAGUCUGUCGUGAAAGCCCUGGGCUCAACCUGGGAAUGGCGAUGGAAACUGGGCGACUAGAGUGUGGCAGAGGGUAAUGGAAUUCCUGGUGUAGCAGUGAAAUGCGUAGAGAUCAGGAGGAACAUCCGUGGCGAAGGCGCCUGCCUGGGCCAACACUGACACUGAGGCACGAAAGCGUGGGGAGCAAACAGGAUUAGAUACCCUGGUAGUCCACGCCCUAAACGAUGCGAACUGGAUGUUGGGUGCAAUUUGGCACGCAGUAUCGAAGCUAACGCGUUAAGUUCGCCGCCUGGGGAGUACGGUCGCAAGACUGAAACUUAAAUGAAUUGGCGGGG
This 397-nucleotide ribosomal RNA is filed under the name uncultured bacterium. RNAcentral's name for it is "partial 16S ribosomal RNA". It matches the Rfam family "Bacterial small subunit ribosomal RNA", at positions 523 to 918 of the family's 1533-position model. The record is from RNAcentral.